Non-coding RNA from Chiloscyllium plagiosum (whitespotted bambooshark), 1424 nucleotides. NCBI's taxonomy places the organism in Eukaryota, Metazoa, Chordata, Chondrichthyes, Orectolobiformes, Hemiscylliidae. The record is from RefSeq and is a predicted model, not a curated record.
CUCACCAAACUCUCCACCCGCUCCCCCCCGCCCCCUCACUCUCACCCUCCCCCUCCACUUCACCAUCCCGCCUCCCCGGAGACUGGCUGCGAAAUUCAGAGGCUGGCACUUUACUCAAAACCUUUUUUUUAAAAAAAGACAGAGAGGAAAAGCCAAACGCAAGGUAGUAAGGUUAAAAGAAAGAAGCAGUGAGGGGUUUAUCUAGAGCGUUGUGCGUUUGCGUUUUGUUUUUUGACUCAAAUCUGCCGUCCCGUCCGUUCCCAAACAUGGUUAGUCUUCUCCAGCUGCUGCUAGUGUACGUACGUCUGUGAUCGGCAGCGUCAGCCCCCUGACUCUCGCUUGCAGCCGGGAGUGGGGCGUAAGGAGCUGGCUGAAGCAUAGCGGCUGCUGAGGCUGACCCCACCCCACACUGCCCACCUCCCCCAAUCUGUCGUGUAUGGGACUAUCGGAUGUCUGCAUUCCUUUUGCCAAAAGGUCGAACCGAAACAAGCACGUGCCUGCUCACUUCUCAGGAGCAGGGACAUUCGAACCCUACAGUUCCUCUGGCCUGUUGGGCCGUGCACUUGUGAUUUCUAGCUGAGCUCUGCCUCAGUACCACAACCACCACCACUUCACCCCUCUUUCCCCAAUACCGAGUUGCACGAGAGCAGAAAUCUCCCCAGCUCCACCCGCCCCCCACCCCAUGCAGACCCGAGGAAAGGGGAAAAUGGAGUUGACAGCUCUCCCUCCGGCCCACCCACCCGUGACGUUGUAACCGGACUGUGCAGUGUUUUCUUUUUAGAGUCGAGUGAGCACGAAGUGGGAGUCGGGGGUGGGUGGGGGGGGAAAACUCUUUACACAGCAGGUUACGGGACGGGUGGGGCAUGGCAGAUGGAAUCCCCUAGUGGCCAUCACCCGCGACUGCAGCGUGACUGUUGACACUGGACACUGCAGUGGGCCGAGACAAUCUGGUUAAGCCUUUCUCAGGGUGGGGUGGAGGUGUACUUCGAUCGGGAACAGCUCGGCCAGUUGGGAGUCGAGACGUUUUAACACUUGUCCUUGCUUAGCGAGCUGCAGGUGUCAGAAUGUGUAAAGCUCCAAGUGUGGGGUCCUGUCCUGCCAAACCCCCCCCAGAGUGCUGUCUUGGGUUUACAUUGAUAUCCCUGCCCCCCCCCCCCCCCCCCAGCCCCUGUGGUGCCUUGUCCUGAGUAGAAAUCUCGGGAGUGGUUCCUGAGGUUGCAGGCCCCUUGCCCUGGUCACCAAGAAGCUGGUGGUUUUAAUCAGGGGGGGUGCACAGGGCCCUGGAACUGCACCUCUGAGCCUGCUGUGCAACCCUUUUACUGUCUGUCCGUGCCACUGGAGGAGGGUGGGCGCCCAUUGGCUGGUCGUAAAUCCAGAUGCAAAGAUGUUUAAUCUCCUAUCAUCACGCAACCCCCCCCCCCCCA